ACUCCUGCGGGAGGCAGCAGUGGGGAAUAUUGGACAAUGGGCGCAAGCCUGAUCCAGCCAUGCCGCGUGAGUGAUGAAGGCCCUAGGGUUGUAAAGCUCUUUCACCGGAGAAGAUAAUGACGGUAUCCGGAGAAGAAGCCCCGGCUAACUUCGUGCCAGCAGCCGCGGUAAUACGAAGGGGGCUAGCGUUGUUCGGAAUUACUGGGCGUAAAGCGCACGUAGGCGGAUCGAUCAGUCAGGGGUGAAAUCCCAGGGCUCAACCCUGGAACUGCCUUUGAUACUGUCGAUCUGGAGUAUGGAAGAGGUGAGUGGAAUUCCGAGUGUAGAGGUGAAAUUCGUAGAUAUUCGGAGGAACACCAGUGGCGAAGGCGGCUCACUGGUCCAUUACUGACGCUGAGGUGCGAAAGCGUGGGGAGCAAACAGGAUUAGAUACCCGGGUAGUCCCAUGA
Molecule: ribosomal RNA, 449 nt
Filed under: uncultured organism
Description: partial 16S ribosomal RNA
Rfam family: Bacterial small subunit ribosomal RNA
Source: RNAcentral